GUGGCGAACGGGUGAGUAACACGUGAGCAAUCUGCCCUUGACUCUGGGAUAACUGCGGGAAACUGUAGCUAAUACCGGAUACUUUCCUCGCUGGGCAUCCAGCGGGGAAGAAAGAAUUUCGGUCAAGGAUGAGCUCGCGGCCUAUCAGCUAGUUGGUGAGGUAAAGGCUCACCAAGGCGACGACGGGUAGCCGGCCUGAGAGGGUGACCGGCCACACUGGAACUGAGACACGGUCCAGACUCCUACGGGAGGCAGCAGUGGGGAAUAUUGCACAAUGGGCGAAAGCCUGAUGCAGCAACGCCGCGUGAGGGAUGAAGGCCUUCGGGUUGUAAACCUCUUUUAGCAGGGAAGAAGCGAAAGUGACGGUACCUGCAGAAAAAGCACCGGCUAACUACGUGCCAGCAGCCGCGGUAAUACGUAGGGUGCAAGCGUUGUCCGGAAUUAUUGGGCGUAAAGAGCUCGUAGGCGGUUUGUCACGUCUGCUGUGAAAAUCCGAGACUCAACCUCGGACUUGCAGUGGGUACGGGCAGGCUAGAGUGCGGUAGGGGAGAAGGGAAUUCCUGGUGUAGCGGUGGAAUGCGCAGAUAUCAGGAGGAACACCAAUGGCGAAGGCACUUCUCUGGGCCGUAACUGACGCUGAGGAGCGAAAGCGUGGGGAGCGAACAGGAUUAGAUACCCUGGUAGUCCAC
RNAcentral lists this ribosomal RNA (689 nucleotides) under uncultured Microbacteriaceae bacterium. RNAcentral describes it as "bacterial SSU rRNA". It matches the Rfam family "Bacterial small subunit ribosomal RNA", at positions 95 to 798 of the family's 1533-position model. The record is from RNAcentral. Lineage: Bacteria; Bacillati; Actinomycetota; Actinomycetes; Micrococcales; Microbacteriaceae.